RNAcentral lists this unclassified non-coding RNA (320 nucleotides) under Hevea brasiliensis (rubber tree). Lineage: Eukaryota; Viridiplantae; Streptophyta; Magnoliopsida; Malpighiales; Euphorbiaceae. The record is from RNAcentral.
GAGACUGAGGAAAGGCGGAGGAAAAAAUUAGAAGACCUGAAGAGUUUAGAAAAUUCACAUUGCGAUUACUACAACAUGAAGCUAAGAAUGCAAGCUGAGAUUGCUGGUUUGCUGGAGAGAAUGGAGACCACAAAGCAGCAAUGGGUGUAAUUUAAUCCUGUUUUCCCCUUCCUUUUUUUUUUAUUUAUUUUGUUGACAGAGAUUAACAUGCAGUGUGUAACUUGUUUACAUCUUCACCAACCAUUGACUUAAGAGUGUUUCUUCAAAUGCUAAGAAUAACCAGAGAAAAAAUUUUUUGUUCUUUGUAUAGUUCAAAAAAA